AAUUCCCUAUAUCUAAAAAAAAAUUACAUUUGGUUCUUUACACUGACUGUAUAGAAAGAGGAGGUACAGUAAAUGCACCCCAUAUACACCUCAACCCAGGUCCUUUGCCUGGUCUGUAUUGUGAAUUGGGGGACAAAA
Suncus etruscus (white-toothed pygmy shrew) is the source of this 138-nucleotide small nucleolar RNA. RefSeq annotates it as small nucleolar RNA SNORA51. The record is from RefSeq and is a predicted model, not a curated record. The transcript has a single exon. NCBI's taxonomy places the organism in Eukaryota, Metazoa, Chordata, Mammalia, Eulipotyphla, Soricidae.